AUGGUUAGAUAGCAUCACUGACUCAAUAGACAUGAAUUUGAGCAAACUCUGUGAGGUAGUAAAGGAAAGGAAAGCCUAGUGCACUGCAGUCCAUGGAGUCUCAAACAGUUUGACAUGACUUAGUGACUGAACAAUAACAAAUAGAUAUUUAUAUGAAGGGAGAGAGAAAGAGGGAAACAGUCAUAUCCCAACCCUUUAUUUUCUGGUUUGGAAAGCAAAACAAAAUAAGUGCAUACAGUAUGAAGAAUUAACAUUUAAAUCUUAGGAAUUAUGUCUUCAGGGAGCUAUGAACUAGCUGUGAAGUGUAAGGCUAUCAUGGUGAGAAAUUUAUUUUUGAAUUGCCAUUUUGCCUAUAUAGACAUUAAUGAGUUUAACAGAAGUAUCGAUUAAUUGAGUUCUAAUUGGUGUAAUGCUAGAUGACUGAGUAUGCCAGUUCUUAUGAUAGUUUACUGUUUGAAACAUGAGUUUAAUUUUCCUGAUUUCAUUAGUCAUAACUGUUAUGCACCAUAUAAUGAUGUGACCAUUUUCUUCUCAUCACAGGGUCUCAUCUUAAUGGCUCAUGCAGUAUUAAAUUCCAGUUUGUUGAACUGGAGCACAGCUGUGCUUUCUGUAGAAUGCUUCCUCAUGGUGCUUUAUGAAGACUUCACUUUCUUAGAGUUUAGCUCCAUUUAUGAUUGCUUUUGGAAAAGGUUGUCUGGUUUUCUGGCUUUCUCAUCUAUAGAACCUAUCUUUUUAUUUAGUAGGUUCAUAAUACAAGUGUAUACUUCUUCCAUUUUUGCUUUCUUUCUAUUGUCUUUCCCUUCUUGUUUUUGUGUGUUAAUUAUGAAAGCAUGAUAAAACAUCUACAAGAGACUUGGAAAAUACAGAAUAAAGUUACAUAUAGUGUCACUGUACAUUACAAUUAUUUUUAAGUAGAUAAAUUAGUUAGAAUUUUAGUAUCAAACUAUCAAAAAUUAUAGAAUGAAUAGAUAGAAAAGUAGAAGGGUGUAGUUGACCUGAAAACACUAUGAACCAAUUCAACAUAAUUAAGAUUUACGCAGUUUUCACUCACCAGCAGGGUAUGGAUUCUAUUCAAGUUCCCACAGACUACAAAUCAGGAGAUGCUGGAACAUACCCAGGGACAUGACAACUCAACAUUCUCCAACAUUUACAUCAUUCCCACCAUCCUAUUAACAUGCUGUCCUAACAGUCCUUCCUGCGUAAGGAUGAGAACCACGUCAAGACCAAAUGUGACUUCACCACUACAGACCCUGAAGUAGCCGAUGAUUGUGUCACGGGGCUGUGAGUGUGAUCAACCAUAUGGUAACUGACCUCCCUCUGAAGUCCCUCUUCACAGCAGAGUAAACAAUUAUGCAUUGAUAAACUCAGGCAUGCCUACUGAGUAAUGAAACAUGGGUAGAAAGCGCAUGGCGUUUCCCAGCAGUCUUUCAGCACCAGAGUUGGAUUUGUCUUGUCUUCCCCUCUACUUGGACACCAAGCGCAUCAGAUCCAGGCUGCACCACUGGGCGGGCCUCUGAGGGAAGCCGGGGAACAGAGGAGGGGACAGAGUCCCUGCUGAGCCACACAGACACACAUCCAGGGAGAAACCCCUGUAGCUACCUGGACAUGGAGGCAGUUUGUUAAUGCAGCAUCCCCUAGCUGUCCUGAGAUCUAUGAAGAAUCAGGUGGUAUUCAGAAGUGUUAUCUUUACAUGGAGAGAAGUCUAUUUUAAAAUUGUGGUAAUGAUUCAGUUCAGUUCAGUCACUCAGUCGUGUCCGAUUCUUUGCGACCCCAU
This 1774-nucleotide long non-coding RNA is filed under the name Capra hircus (goat). Its description in RNAcentral is "lncRNA (ENSCHIG00010021072.1)". The record is from RNAcentral. Lineage: Eukaryota; Metazoa; Chordata; Mammalia; Artiodactyla; Bovidae.